AUGAACGCUGACAGACUGCUUAACACCUGCCAGUCGAUGGGGAAGUGGUGCUUGCACCCUGGCAACCAUGGCGGACGGGUGAGUAACGCGUAAGGGACUUACCUGCAGGACUGGGAUAACAGGGGGAAACUCCUGACAAGACCGGAUAAUGUCAUGGAGCUGCAUGGCUUUAUGAUGAAAGGAGACGCCUGCGGAGAGCCUUGCGUCCUAUUAGCUAGUUGGUGAGGUAAUGGCUCACCAAGGCGAAGAUAGGUAGCCGGCCUGAGAGGGUGGACGGCCACAAGGGGACUGAGAUACGGCCCUUACUCCUACGGGAGGCAGCAGUGGGGAAUAUUGGACAAUGGGGGCAACCCUGAUCCAGCAAUUCUGUGUGCACGAAGAAGGUUUUCGGAUUGUAAAGUGCUUUCAGCAGGGAAGAAGUAAGUGACGGUACCUGCAGAAGAAGCGACGGCUAAAUACGUG
RNAcentral lists this ribosomal RNA (462 nucleotides) under uncultured bacterium. RNAcentral's name for it is "partial 16S ribosomal RNA". It matches the Rfam family "Bacterial small subunit ribosomal RNA", at positions 29 to 507 of the family's 1533-position model. The record is from RNAcentral.